GAUGAACGCUGGCGGCGUGCCUAAUACAUGCAAGUCGAACGGAGAGCUAGCAAUAGUUCUUAGUGGCGAACGGGUGAGUAACGCGUUGGUGACCUGCCCCGAAACGGGGGAUAACAGUUCGAAAGGACUGCUAAUACCCCAUGUAGUCGUUUGGAUUAGAUGCCUUACGACUAAACGGAUUUAUUCGCUUCGGGAGGGGCCUGCGUCCCAUCAGCUAGUUGGUAAGGUAAUGGCUUACCAAGGCUAUGACGGGUAGGGGACCUGAGAGGGUGGCCCCCCACAAUGGAACUGAAACACGGUCCAUACACCUACGGGAGGCAG
This 321-nucleotide ribosomal RNA is filed under the name uncultured Chloroflexota bacterium. RNAcentral describes it as "bacterial SSU rRNA". It matches the Rfam family "Bacterial small subunit ribosomal RNA", at positions 28 to 351 of the family's 1533-position model. The record is from RNAcentral. Lineage: Bacteria; Bacillati; Chloroflexota.